This is a long non-coding RNA of Raphanus sativus (radish), 316 nucleotides long. RefSeq lists it as uncharacterized. The transcript has 3 exons. Lineage: Eukaryota; Viridiplantae; Streptophyta; Magnoliopsida; Brassicales; Brassicaceae. The record is from RefSeq and is a predicted model, not a curated record.
GCAAGCUAGCAGAAAGAAACCCUUCUUUAUGUGGCAAACUUGUUUUUCCGAAUUUGAAUAAAAUCCGCACUGCUGUCCCUUAUCUCCCUCAUUUGUCCAAAUUCUAGUGGGAGAAUGGGAGGUUCCAAGGAAGAUCUCAUUAUCUUAAUCCUUCAAUUUCUCCAUGAAGCAAAGUACAAGAACACUUUGCAUAGAUUAGAGCAGGAAAGCGAAGUCUUCUUCAACAUAAAUUAUUUGGCUGAAGUGAUGAAGCUCGGUGAAAUGGGAAAGGCUGAAGAGUACCUGGCAGCUUUUACAGACAAACACGCUAAUAAAU